GACGAACGCUGGCGGCGUGCUUAACACAUGCAAGUCGAACGGAAAGGCCCUGCUUUUUUGGGGUGCUCGAGUGGCGAACGGGUGAGUAACACGUGAGUAACCUGCCCUUGACUUUGGGAUAACUUCAGGAAACUGGGGCUAAUACCGGAUCGGAUCUCCUGCUGCAUGGUGGGGGUUGGAACGUCUCGGCGGGUGGGGAUGGAUGCGCGGCUUAUCAGCUUGCUGGUGGGCCAGUGGCUUACCAAGGCUUUGACUGAUAGCCGGCCUGAGAGGGUGAACGGCCACCAUAGGCCUGCGAUACGGCCCAGACUCCUACGGGAGGCAGCAGUGGGGAAUAUUGCACAGUGGGCGGAAGCCUGAUGCAGCGACGCCGCGUGCGGGAUGACGGCCUUCGGGUUGUGAACCGCUUUCGCCUGUGACGAAGCGGGAGUGACGGUAAUGGAUAAAGAAGCACCGGCUAACUACGUG
RNAcentral lists this ribosomal RNA (468 nucleotides) under uncultured bacterium. Its description in RNAcentral is "partial 16S ribosomal RNA". It matches the Rfam family "Bacterial small subunit ribosomal RNA", at positions 28 to 507 of the family's 1533-position model. The record is from RNAcentral.